Molecule: non-coding RNA, 91 nt
Organism: Paramuricea clavata
Lineage: Eukaryota; Metazoa; Cnidaria; Anthozoa; Malacalcyonacea; Plexauridae
Source: the annotation of a GenBank genome assembly
CACACGUAAGAGUGUUUUAUCACAUAUAAAACACUAUGCGUAGCGGAGUGUUUUAUAUGUGAUAAAACACGACUACAAGUGCUUUAAAUGG